GACGAACGCUGGCGGCGUGCUUAACACAUGCAAGUCGAACGGAAAGGCCUGCAGCUUGCUGCGGGUACUCGAGUGGCGAACGGGUGAGUAACACGUGGGUGAUCUGCCUUGCACUUCGGGAUAAGCUUGGGAAACUGGGUCUAAUACCGGAUAGGACAGCUGUUUAGUGUCAGUUGUGGAAAGUUUUUUCGGUGCAAGAUGAGCUUGCGGCCUAUCAGCUUGUUGGUGGGGUAAUGGCCUACCAAGGCGUCGACGGGUAGCCGGCCUGAGAGGGUGUACGGCCACAUUGGGACUGAGAUACGGCCCAGACUCCUACGGGAGGCAGCAGUGGGGAAUAUUGCACAAUGGGCGGAAGCCUGAUGCAGCGACGCCGCGUGGGGGAUGAAGGCCUUCGGGUUGUAAACUCCUUUCGACAGGGACGAAGCUUUUGUGACGGUACCUGUAUAAGAAGCACCGGCUAACUACGUGCCAGCAGCCGCGGUAAUACGUAGGGUGCGAGCGUUGUCCGGAAUUACUGGGCGUAAAGAGCUCGUAGGUGGUUUGUCGCGUCGUCUGUGAAAUUCCGGGGCUUAACUUCGGGCGUGCAGGCGAUACGGGCUGACUUGAGUGCUGUAGGGGAGACUGGAAUUCCUGGUGUAGCGGUGAAAUGCGCAGAUAUCAGGAGGAACACCGAUGGCGAAGGCAGGUCUCUGGGCAGUAACUGACGCUGAGGAGCGAAAGCAUGGGUAGCGAACAGGAUUAGAUACCCUGGUAGUCCAUGCCGUAAACGGGGGGCGCUAGGUGUAGGGGGCUUCCACGUCUUCUGUGCCGUAGCUAACGCAUUAAGCGCCCCGCCUGGGGAGUACGGCCGCAAGGCUAAAACUCAAAGGAAUUGACGGGGGCCCGCACAAGCGGCGGAGCAUGUGGAUUAAUUCGAUGCAACGCGAAGAACCUUACCUGGGCUUGACAUAUACAAGACAGGCGUAGAGAUACGUCCUCCCUUGUGGUUUGUAUACAGGUGGUGCAUGGUUGUCGUCAGCUCGUGUCGUGAGAUGUUGGGUUAAGUCCCGCAACGAGCGCAACCCCUAUACUUAGUUACCAGCGAAUAAAGUCGGGGACUCUAAGUAGACUGCCGAUGACAAAUCGGAGGAAGGUGGGGAUGACGUCAAAUCAUCAUGCCCUUUAUGUCCUGGGCUACACACGUGCUACAAUGGUUGGUACAGAGGGAAGCUAUAUAGUGAUAUAAUGCAAAACUCCAAAGCCAAUCCCAGUUCGGAUUGUAGGCUGCAACUCGCCUACAUGAAGUCGGAGUUGCUAGUAAUCGCGGAUCAGAAUGUCGCGGUGAAUGCGUUCCCGGGUCU
RNAcentral lists this ribosomal RNA (1340 nucleotides) under uncultured bacterium. RNAcentral's name for it is "bacterial SSU rRNA". It matches the Rfam family "Bacterial small subunit ribosomal RNA", at positions 28 to 1381 of the family's 1533-position model. The record is from RNAcentral.